AACUACUGGCUGACCUCGAGAACUGAUACCGAGCCACUUCCAUGGCAAGACACAAGUCCUUUUUUUUUUUUUUUUUUNGCCAAAUAGCCACACACUCACUUUAGCUGAGGCGCACUGGAGACACAAUGAGAAAUGUCUGAACUAUGCAAGGAUCUCUGUGAUGUCAACGCAUGAGGAAUAUUUCUUGCUGGUUCAGUUUUACUAGACCAGUCACUCCUUUCUCAUACUGGCAAAGCAGAUGCCCACAGAGUGAGAUGCUAAGACGUUAUUAUGACAAUGAAAAGAAGAAGAGAAAUAGCCACAUUUCAAGCAUGAAUUCUACCACAAGCAAAAUGAUGAAGAAAAAAGAUCUCUUUUACAUAACGAUCCGUGCUCAGUUCGUUUCACAGCCAAGAAGAGGAAUUGCUAGACAACAAAACAUAUGCAACGCCCAAAAUAUCUACAUCCUUUAUUUAAAAUUUUUAAAAUCCCUUGGAAAAUAUCUGACAUAUCUAUUUUUCUUAAUAGAUUGUAAGAGGCAGUGUGCUUACACUAGUCUCCUCCUUGGCUGCAGAAGUGGUGAUAUUGUAGUUGUUGUCGUCAUAUAA
This 587-nucleotide long non-coding RNA is filed under the name Pogona vitticeps (central bearded dragon). RNAcentral's name for it is "lncRNA (ENSPVIG00000000229.1)". Lineage: Eukaryota; Metazoa; Chordata; Lepidosauria; Squamata; Agamidae. The record is from RNAcentral.